AGCAGCCGCGGUAAUUCCAGCUCCAAUAGCGUAUAUUAAAGUUGUUGCAGUUAAAAAGCUCGUAGUUGAAUUUCGGGAUCAAUAUGCUGGUCGUGCCAUUGGUACGUACUAGUAUUAUUGGUUUCUCCUUUCUGAUGAAUCAUGAUGUCAUUAAUUUGAUGUCAUGAGGAAUCAGGACUGUUACUUUGAAAAAAUUAGAGUGUUUAAAGCAGGCUCGCGCUUGAAUACAUUAGCAUGGAAUAAUGAAAUAGGAUGUUUGAUUCUAUUUUGUUGGUUUCUAGGAUUGACGUAAUGAUUAAUAGGGAUAGUUGGGGGCAUUAGUAUUCAAUUGUCAGAGGUGAAAUUCUUGGAUUUAUUGAAGACUAACUACUGCGAAAGCAUUUGCCAAGGAUGUUUUCAUUAAUCAAGAACGAAAGUUAGGGGAUCGAAGACGAUCAGAUACCGUCGUAGUCUUAACCAUAAACUAUGCCGACUAGGGGAUCGGAUGAUGUUAAUUUUUUAAUGACUCAUUCGGCGCCUU
Molecule: unclassified non-coding RNA, 520 nt
Filed under: uncultured Glomus
Lineage: Eukaryota; Fungi; Glomeromycota; Glomeromycetes; Glomerales; Glomeraceae
Description: SSU rRNA
Rfam family: Eukaryotic small subunit ribosomal RNA
Source: RNAcentral